CUCGCCUCGCCGCGGGGAAACCGGAGGGUUCGGCCUCUCACCGCCCCAUGGAGGACGAGCCCCGGGCAGCCCUCGGCCCCUUCGCCAGAGACUUUGCGUCAACAGUCGACAAACUGCGCCUCGUUGCGCCGCUCAACUACGGGCGGUCCCGCACCGUCAGCCGCCACUGUGACCCCGCUGACCCCAG
This is a long non-coding RNA of Chroicocephalus ridibundus (black-headed gull), 187 nucleotides long. RefSeq lists it as uncharacterized. The transcript is spliced from 4 exons. NCBI's taxonomy places the organism in Eukaryota, Metazoa, Chordata, Aves, Charadriiformes, Laridae. The record is from RefSeq and is a predicted model, not a curated record.